Hordeum vulgare subsp. vulgare (domesticated barley) is the source of this 379-nucleotide long non-coding RNA. RefSeq lists it as uncharacterized. The transcript is spliced from 2 exons. Lineage: Eukaryota; Viridiplantae; Streptophyta; Magnoliopsida; Poales; Poaceae. The record is from RefSeq and is a predicted model, not a curated record.
CCAAUUGGCGCCAGGUCAGGGACCAGACGAACUGUCCCAGAUCUGGAAGACUAAGCUUUCGCCUAAGAUCAAGAUCUUCCUCUGGCAGCUGGUCAGAGUUGUGGAGGCCCUUAUCCAAGCGAUGGGAUAGGGCGGUGGUGGACCAACUGACGAGGAGAUAUGAAGAACUGGCGGCUCAUCUCCUGAUGAUUACCUAUCCUCCUUGAGGAUGUAUCUUCUAUUAUGUUCAGGCUUGUUGUUGCUGUGCCCGCAGCGUGAACCUCUUUCUCUCCUCUUGUUUCCCUUGUUUUUUCUUGCUAUGGACUUCCGUUUGUUCGGAUUGGUUGUAUUGUUCAUGCUUUUUAUCUAUAAAGCGGGGCACGAAGUCUUUUUGGGUAAA